Molecule: small nuclear RNA, 90 nt
Filed under: Canis lupus familiaris (dog)
Lineage: Eukaryota; Metazoa; Chordata; Mammalia; Carnivora; Canidae
Also listed under: 1 other name
Source: RNAcentral
GUGCUUCCUUCGGCAGCACAUAUAUUAAAAUUGGAAUGAUACAGAGAAGAUGUACAAAGGAUGACGUGAAUUUGUGAAGCAUUUAUUUUU